AGUGAACGCUGGCGGUAGGCCUAACACAUGCAAGUCGAACGGCAGCACAGUAAGAGCUUGCUCUUACGGGUGGCGAGUGGCGGACGGGUCAGGAAUACAUCGGAAUCUACUUUUUCGUGGGGGAUCACGUAGGGAAACUUACGCUAAUACCGCAUACGACCUACGGGUGAAAGCAGGGGAUCUUCGGACCUUGCGCGAUUGAAUGAGCCGAUGUCGGAUUAGCUAGUUGGCGGGGUAAAGGCCCACCAAGGCGACGAUCCGUAGCUGGACUGAGAGGAUGGUCGGCCGCACUGGAACGGAGACACGGUCCAGACUCCUAAGGGAGGCAGCAGUGGGGAAUAUUGGGCAAUGGGCGCAAGCCUGAUCCAGCCAUACCGCGUGGGUGAAGAAGGCCUUCGGGUUGUAAAGCCCUUUUUUUGGGAAAGAAAAGCAGCAGGUUAAUACCCCGCUGUUCUGACGGUACCCAAAGAAUAAGCACCGGCUAACUUCGUG
Molecule: ribosomal RNA, 492 nt
Filed under: uncultured bacterium
Lineage: Bacteria
Description: partial 16S ribosomal RNA
Rfam family: Bacterial small subunit ribosomal RNA
Source: RNAcentral